UAAUUGUUAUUUGUUCAUUGCAGUGCAAGACAACAGGGGAUACACAUUGAUGAAAUUGUUCAGCAAUUGAAGAUCCCAAAGAACAAGCUAAAGAAGCUACAAAGAUGCUAAAGAUAUAGAAUUUGAGGGUCUUGGCCUACGAAGACAUGACUGAACGUCGCUGCCAAGAAGACGACGCAUGAAGACGUUCUGGUGCUACAAGGCUGUGUUGUAGGACUUUGGAAGAUGUUUACGCGUCUUGGAGGAGUCACGGAUAUUGGAUGACGUGGAAAUACUUUUGAAGGCUUGUUAAUUAGAGGACAAGAUAUUAUCAUAUUGACUUGAAAAUUUGGACUUAUCCUUGUUUAGGAAAGUAGGUUAUAGGAGGGUUCCUAUAUAUUGUAUUAUUAGGCCAAACAAUGUUUGGCCGUUCAAAAAGAAUUUUAGAGAACUAAGCGAGAAAGCUUUUAGGGUUCUUAGGGAUUUUGGUUAGAUUAAGAAUUGGUCAGUGACAAGCCGUGUUGAC
Molecule: long non-coding RNA, 505 nt
Organism: Camelina sativa (false flax)
Lineage: Eukaryota; Viridiplantae; Streptophyta; Magnoliopsida; Brassicales; Brassicaceae
Source: RefSeq, a predicted model, not a curated record